GAAAAAAAAAUCAGAGAUCUACAUGGCCCCUGGGCAAGGAUGACACACAAAUUCAUGAAGAGCUCCGUAUUUUU
RNAcentral lists this small nuclear RNA (74 nucleotides) under Peromyscus maniculatus bairdii (prairie deer mouse). Lineage: Eukaryota; Metazoa; Chordata; Mammalia; Rodentia; Cricetidae. The record is from RNAcentral.